UACAGAGGGGGCAAGCGUUGUUCGGAAUUACUGGGCGUAAAGAGUGUGUAGGCGGUGCUCUAAGUCUGUUGUGAAAUCUCCCGGCUUAACCGGGAGGGUGCGGCGGAAACUGGAGUGCUUGAGGGUGGGAGAGGUAAGCGGAAUUCCUGGUGUAGCGGUGAAAUGCGUAGAUAUCAGGAGGAACACCUGUGGUGUAGACAGCUUACUGGACCACUUCUGACGCUGAGACACGAAAGCGUGGGUAGCAAACAGG
This 253-nucleotide ribosomal RNA is filed under the name uncultured bacterium. RNAcentral describes it as "partial 16S ribosomal RNA". It matches the Rfam family "Bacterial small subunit ribosomal RNA", at positions 524 to 776 of the family's 1533-position model. The record is from RNAcentral.